UACGGGGGGGGUAAGCGUUGUUCGGAAUUACUGGGCGUAAAGCGCGUGUAGGCGGCUUUGCAAGUCGGGUGUGAAAGCCCUCAGCUCAACUGAGGAAGUGCGCCCGAAACUGCAGAGCUUGAGUACCGGAGAGGAUGGCGGAAUUCCCCAAGUAGAGGUGAAAUUCGUAGAUAUGGGGAGGAACACCGGUGGCGAAGGCGGCCAUCUGGACGGAUACUGACGCUGAGACGCGAAAGCGUGGGUAGCAAACAGG
Molecule: ribosomal RNA, 253 nt
Filed under: uncultured bacterium
Lineage: Bacteria
Description: partial 16S ribosomal RNA
Rfam family: Bacterial small subunit ribosomal RNA
Source: RNAcentral